RNAcentral lists this ribosomal RNA (451 nucleotides) under uncultured Sulfuriferula sp. Its description in RNAcentral is "bacterial SSU rRNA". It matches the Rfam family "Bacterial small subunit ribosomal RNA", at positions 1045 to 1485 of the family's 1533-position model. The record is from RNAcentral. Lineage: Bacteria; Pseudomonadati; Pseudomonadota; Betaproteobacteria; Nitrosomonadales; Sulfuricellaceae.
AUGGCUGUCGUCAGCUCGUGUCGUGAGAUGUUGGGUNAAGUCCCGCAACGAGCGCAACCCUUGCCAUUAGUUGCUACAUUUAGUUGNGCACUCUAAUGGGACUGCCGGUGACAAACCGGAGGAAGGUGGGGAUGACGUCAAGUCCUCAUGGCCCUUAUGGGUAGGGCUUCACACGUAAUACAAUGGUCGGUACAGAGGGUUGCCAACCCGCGAGGGGGAGCCAAUCCCAGAAAGCCGAUCGUAGUCCGGAUCGGAGUCUGCAACUCGANUCCGUGAAGUCGGAAUCGCUAGUAAUCGCGGAUCAGGCAUGUCGCGGUGAAUACGUUCCCGGGUCCUUUGUACACCACCGCCCGUCACCACCCAUUGGGAGGUGGGUUAUUACCCAGAAGCAGGUANGCUUAACCNUUAAGGGAGGGCGCUUNCCCAACGGUAGGAUUCAUANCGGGGGAAU